GGAGAGGAGAGGAGAGGAGAGGAGAGGAGAGGAGAGGAGAGGAGAGGAGAGGAGAGGAGAGGAGAGGAGAGGAGAGGAGAGGAGAGGAGAGGAGAGGAGAGGAGGAAGGUGAAGAUGAGAGGUGAGGAGGAAGAUGAGGAGGAAGGUAAAGAGGAAGGAGAGGAGGAAGACGAGGAAGGUGAGGAGAGGAGGGAGGUGAGGACGGAGGAGAGGAGGAAGGCUGGGAGGAAGAAGAGAAGGAAGGCAAGGAGGAAGGAGAGGAGGAAGAGGAGAGGAGGAAAGCAAGAAGGAAGGGGAGGAGGAAGACGAGGAGAGGAGAGGGGUGAGGAGGAAGAAGAGGAGAGGAGGAAGACAAGGAGGAAGGUGAAGAGGAAGGUGGAGGGGAAGGAGAGGAGGAAGGUGAGGAGAGGAGAGAAGUGAGGAGGAAGGAGAGGAGGAAGGCAAGGAGGAAGGGGAGGAGGAAGAAGAGAGGAGGAAGGCAAGGAGGAAGAUGAAGAGGUAGGUGAGGGCAGGAGAGAGGUGAGGAGGAAGAUGAGGAGGAAGAAGAGAAGGAAGAAGAGGACGGAGAAGAGGAGAGGAGGAAGACAAGGAGGAAGGUGAGGAGGAAGGUAGAGGGGAAGGAGAGGAGGAGGAAGGAGAGGAAAGGAGGAAGGAGAGCAGGAAGGUGAAGGUGAGGAAGAUGAGUAGAGGAGGAAGAAGAGGAUGGAGAAGAGGAGAGGAGGAAGGUGAGAAGGAAGGGGAGGAGGAAGAUGAGAGGAGAGGGGUGAGGAGGAAGAAGAGGAGGAAGAUGAGGAGGGAGAAGAGGAGAGGAGGAAGGCAAGGAGGAAGGCGAAGAGGAAGGUGGAGGGGAAGGAGAGGAGGAAGGUGAGGACAGGAGAGAGGUGAGGAGGAAGGAGAGGAGGAAGACGACAAAGAUGAGGAGGAAGGAGAGGAGGGAGAAGAGGAGAGGAGGAAGGCAAGGAGGAAAGUGAGGAGGAAGGUGAGGAGGAGGAAGGUGAGGAGGAGGAAAGAGAGGACAGGAAAGGAGGAGAAAGGUGAGGAGAGGAGGAAGGAGAGGAGGAAGAUGAGGAGGAAGGAGAGGACGGAGAAGAGGAGAGGAGGAAGACAAGGAAGAAGGCAAAGAGGAAGGUAAAGAGCAAGGAGUGGAGGAAGAUGAGGAGGAAGAAGAGAAGGAAGACAAGGAGGAAGGAGAGGAGGAAGAUGAGGAGAGAGGUGAGGAGGAAGAUAAGGAGGAAGGAGAGGAGGAAGAUGAGGAGAGAGGUGAGGAGGAAGAAGAGGAGGAAGAAGGGAAGGAAGGAGAGGAGGAAGGUGAGGAUGAAGAUGAGGAGGGAGAUGAGGAAGGUGAGGAUAGGAGGGAGGUGAGGAGGAAGAUGAGGAGGAAGGAGAGGAGGGAGAAGAGGAGAGAAGGAAGGCAAGGAGGAAAGUGAGGAGGAAGGUGAGGAGGAGGAAGGAGAGGAGAGGAAAGGAGGAGAAAGGUAAGGAGAGGAGGAAGGAGAGGAGGAAGAUGAGGAGGAAGAAGAGAAGGAAGGCAAGGAGGAAGGAGAGGAGGAAGAUGAGGAGAGGAGAGAGGUGAGGAGGAAGGCAAGGAGGAAGAAGAGGAGGAAGAUGAGGAAGAAGAUGAGGAGGAAGAAGGAGAGGGGAGGAAAGGAGGAGGGAGGUGAGGAGAGGAGAGGAGGAAGGAGAGGAGGAAGAUGAGGAGGGAGAAGAGGAGAGGAGGAAGAUGAGGAGGAAGGCGAAGAAGAAAGUAGAGGGGAAGGAGAGGAGGGAGGUGAGGAGAGAGGUGAGGAGGAAGAAGGGGAGGAAGAAGAGAAGGAAGGAGAGGAGGAAGAUGAGGAGAGAGGUGAGGAGGAAGAUGAGGAGGAAGAAGAGAAGGAAGAGGAGGAAGAAGAGGAGAGAGGUGAGGAGGAAGAUGAGGAGGAAGAAGAGAAGGAAGAGGAGGAAGAAGAGGAGGAAGAAGAGGAGGAGGAAGAAGCAGAGGGGAGUAAAGGAGGAGAAAGGUGAGGAGAGGGGGAGGGAGAGGAGGAAGAUGAGGAGGAAGGCGAAGAGGAAAGUGGGAAGGAGAGGAAGAAGGCGAGGAGGAAGAAGAGGAGGAAGAAGAGAAGGAAGGAGAGGAGGGAGAUGAGGAGGGAGAUGAGGAAGGUGAGGAGAGGAGGGAGGUGAGGAGGAAGAAGAGGAGGAAGACGAGGAGGAAGGAGAGGAGGGAGAAGAGGAGAGGAGGAAGGCAAGGAGGAAAGUGAGGAGGAAGGUGAGGAGGAGGAAGGUGAGGAGGAGGAAGGAGAGGAGAGGAAAGGAGGAGAAAGGUGAGGAGAGGAGGAAGGAGUGGAGGAAGAAGAGGAGGAAGAAGAGAAGGAAGGCAAGGAGGAAGGAGAGGAGGAAGAUGAGAGAGGUGAGGAGGAAGAUGAGGAGGAAGACAAGGAGGAAGAGGAGGAAGAAGAGGAGGAAGAAGAGAAGGAGGAAGAAGCAGAGGGGAGUAAAGGAGGAGAAAGGUGAGGAGAGGAGGAGGGAGAGGAGGAAGAUGAGGAGGAAGGCGAAGAGGAAAGUGGGAAGGAGAGGAAGAAGGCGAGGAGGAAGAAGAGGAGGAAGAAGAGAAGGAAGGAGAGGAGGAAGGAGAGGAGGAAGAUGAGGAGAGGUGAGUAGGAAGGAGAGGAGGAAGAAGAGAAGGAAAGAGAGGAGGAGGGAGAGGAGGAAGAUGAGGAGGAAGGCGAAGAGGAAAGUGGGAAGGAGAGGAGGAAGAUGAGGAGGAAGAAGAGGAAGAAGAGAAGGAAGGUAAGGAGGAAGGAGAGGAGGAAGAUGAGGAGAGAGGUGAGGAGGAAGGAGAGGAGGAAGAAGAGAAGGAAGGAGAGGAGGAAGGAGAGGAUGAAGAUGAGGAGGGAGAUGAGGAAGGUGAGGAGAGGAGGGAGGUGAGGAGGAAGAAGAGGAGGAAGACGAGGAGGAAGGAGAGGAGGGAGAAGAGGAGAGGAGGAAGGCAAGGAGGAAAGUGAGGAGGAAGGUGAGGAGGAGGAAGGAGAGGAGAGGAAAGGAGGAGAAAGGUGAGGAGAGGAGGAAGGAGUGGAGGAAGAAGAGGAGGAAGAAGAGAAGGAAGGCAAGGAGGAAGGAGAGGAGGAAGAUGAGGAAGAAGAGAAGGAAGGAGAGGAAGAAGGAGAGGAGGAAGAUGAGGAGAGAGCUGAGGAGGAAGAAGAGGAGGAAGAAGAGAAGGAAGGAGAAGAGGAAGGAGAGGAUGAAGAUGAGGAGGGAGAUGAGGAAGGUGAGGAGAGGAGGGAGGUGAGGAGGAAGAGGAGGAGGAAGAUGAGGAGGAAGGAGAGGCGGAAGUCACACUGUGCCACCUUCCCUGAGCCGACCUUCCGUGCAGCAGCGCUUCGCCCCCUCCCUGGGAAAGACCCCACGGUGUCUCCAACCCCAUAACCUCCACCCCACAACCCCCACCCCAUAUCCUCCACCCCACAACCGCAGGAGAGCAAUGGGGCCAAAAGGAGAGCAGUGGGGCCCAGAGGAGAGGAGUGGGGCCAAAAGGAAGGCAAUGGGGCCGGGAGGAGAGCAGUGGGGCUGAUAUGGGGGCAAUGGGGCCAACAGGAGAGCAGUGGGGCUGACAGGAGAGUAAUGGGGCCAGCAGGACAGCAAUGGGGCUGACAGGAGAGUAAUGGGGCCAGCAGGAGAGCAAUGGGGACGAUAGGAGAGCAAUAGGGCCAGCAGGAGAGCAAUGGGGUCAGUAGAAAAGCAGUGGGGUCAAUAUAAAAGUAAUAGGGCCAACAGAAAAGUAAUAGGGCCAGCAGGAGAGCAAUGGGGCCAGCAGGAGAGUAAUAGGGCCGAUAGGAAAGUAAUGGGGCCGAUAGGAAAGUAAUGGGGCCGACAGGAGAGCAAUGGGGCCAAUAGGAGAGUAAUAGGGCCAGCAGGAGAGCAAUGGGGCCGACAGGAGAGCAAUGGGGCCAAUAGGAAAGUAAUGGGGCCAGGAGGAGAGCAAUGGGGCCGAUAGGAGACUAAUAGGGCCAAUAGGAGAGCAAUGGGGCCAGCAGGAGAGUAAUAGGGCCAGGAGGAGAGCAAUGGGGCCGAUAGAAAAGUAAUGGGGCCAGGAGGAGAGCAAUGGGGCCAGCAGGAGAGCAAUGGGGCCGACAGGAGAACAGUGGGGCCAGGAGAAGAACAAUGGGGCCAAUAGGAGAGUAAUAGGGCCAGCAGGAGGGCAGUGGGGCCAACAGGAGAGCAAUGGGGCUGAUAGGGGAACAAUGGGGCCAGGAGGAGAGAAAUGGGGCCAGCAGGAGAGUAAUAGGGCCAGCAGGAGAGCAGUGGGGCCAAUAGGAAAGUAAUGGGGCCAGCAUGAGAGUAAUAGGGCUGACAGGAGUGCAAUGGGGCCAAUAGGAGAGUAACAGGGCCAGCAGGAGAGCAAUAGGGCCAGCAGGAGAGCAAUGGGGCCAGCAGGAAAGUAAUGGGGCCAGCAGGAGAGCAAUGGGGCCGACAGGAGAGCAGUGGGGCCGAUAGGAGAGCAGUGGGGUCAGCAGAAAAGCAAUGGGGUCAAUAGAAAAGUAAUAGGGCCAACAGAAAAGUAAUGGGGCCAACAGGAGAACAAUGGGGCCAAUAGGAAAGUAAUGGGGCCAGCAGAAAAGCAAUGGGGUCAAUAGAAAAGUAUUAGGGCCAACAGGAGAACAAUGGGGCCGAUAGGAAAGUAAUGGGGCCAACAGGAGAGCAAUGAGGCUGACAGGAGAGUUAUAGGGCCGAUAGGAGAGCAGUGGGGUCAGCAGAAAAGCAAUGGGGUCAAUAGAAAAGUAAUAGGGCCAACAGAAAAGUAAUGGGGCCAGCAGGAGAGCAAUGGGGCCGAUAGGAAAGUAAUGGGGCUGAUAUGAGAAUAAUAGGGCCGAUAGGAGAGCAAUGGGGCUGAUAGGAGAGUAAUAGGACCGAUAGGAGAGCAAUGGGGCCGAGAGAAAAGUAAUGGGGCCAGGAGGAGAGCAGUGGGACCCAGAGGGGAGCAAUGGGGCCAAUGAGAGAGAAAUGGGGCCAACAGGAAAGUAAUAGGGUCAGCAGGAGAGCAAUGGGGUCAACAGGAGAGCAAUGGGGCCGAUAGGAGAGUAAUGGGGCCGACAGGAGAGCAAUGGGGCCGAUAGGAGAGCAAUGGGGCCGAUAGGAGAGUAAUGGGGCCGACAGGAGAGCAAUGGGGCCGAUAGAAAAGUAAUGGGGCCAGGAGGAGAGCAAUGGGGCCAGCAGGAGUGCAAUGGGGCCGAUAGGAGAGUAAUAGGGCCAGCAGGAGAGCAAUGGGGCCGACAGGAGAACAGUGGGGCCAGGAGAAGAACAAUGGGGCCAAUAGGAGAGUAAUAGGGCCAGCAGGAGGGCAGUGGGGCUGACAGGAAAGUAAUGGGGCCAGCACGAGAGUAAUAGGGCCGACAGGAGAGCAAUGGGGCCAGUAGGAGAGUAAUAGGGCCAGCAGGAG
Molecule: long non-coding RNA, 5413 nt
Filed under: Gallus gallus (chicken)
Lineage: Eukaryota; Metazoa; Chordata; Aves; Galliformes; Phasianidae
Description: lncRNA (ENSGALG00010000420.1)
Source: RNAcentral